AUACGGAGGGGGCAAGCGUUGUUCGGAUUUAUUGGGUGUAAAGGGUGUGUAGGCGGCAUAGUAAGUCAGAUGUGAAAUCUCUGGGCUUAACCCAGAAACUGCAUUUGAAACUGCUAAGCUAGAGUACUAAAGAGGUGAAUGGAAUUCUCGGUGUAAGAGUGAAAUCUGCAGAUAUCGAGAAGAACACCAGUAGCGAAGGCGAUUCACUGGGUAGAUACUGACGCUGAAACACGAAAGCUAGGGUAGCGAACGGGAUUAGAAACCCCAGUAGUCC
Molecule: ribosomal RNA, 274 nt
Filed under: uncultured bacterium
Lineage: Bacteria
Description: partial 16S ribosomal RNA
Rfam family: Bacterial small subunit ribosomal RNA
Source: RNAcentral